RNAcentral lists this ribosomal RNA (485 nucleotides) under uncultured bacterium. Its description in RNAcentral is "partial 16S ribosomal RNA". It matches the Rfam family "Bacterial small subunit ribosomal RNA", at positions 29 to 507 of the family's 1533-position model. The record is from RNAcentral.
AAUGAACGCUGGCGGCGUGCCUAAUACAUGCAAGUCGGAUGUGCCGCCAGGUGCCUUGCUGAUCGGUUGUUAGCGCGUAGCGAAUCUAUCUUUCUGUGGGGACUUACCUUUCGAACUGAGUUGUCUUCCCGCAUGCGACCCUGAGCUCGGAUGUUCUCUGUGACCCCUUGGUUCCGCAAUGCCUGACGCUCUUACUGUCACCUGCGUCUGAUUAGCUAGUUGGUUAGGUAAUGGCUCACCAAGGCGACGAUCAGUAGCCGGCCUGAGAGGGUGAUCGGCCACACUGGAACUGAGACACGGUCCAGACUCCUACGGGAGGCAGCAGUAGGGAAUUUUGCGCAAAGGACGAAAGUCUGACGGAGCAACGCCGCGUGAGUGAUGAAGGUCUUCGGACUGUAAAACCCUGUCAUCAGGGACGAAGGUAGGAGUAAGAAAAGCGGUAUUACUUGACGGUACCUAAACAGAAAGCCACGGCUAACUAUGUG